Molecule: microRNA precursor, 151 nt
Organism: Danio rerio (zebrafish)
Lineage: Eukaryota; Metazoa; Chordata; Actinopteri; Cypriniformes; Danionidae
Gene: mir153c
Product: microRNA 153c
Source: Ensembl
GAUGGAGAUCAGUAGGUCCCUGGACGUAGCACACCUCCCAGUGUCAUUUUUGUGAUUUGCAGCUAGUAGUCUGGGUCCAGUUGCAUAGUCACAAAAAUGAUCAUUGGUAGGUGUGAGUGCAGCAGGAGUGAGGCUUACCGGAUCCUCCAUC